GACAAUGUGGCUGAUAAAAGUGUUAAAUUGUAAGUUUAUUUAUAGAAAUUUUCUCAUUGUUA
Molecule: transfer RNA, 62 nt
Filed under: Pseudocellus pearsei
Lineage: Eukaryota; Metazoa; Arthropoda; Arachnida; Ricinulei; Ricinoididae
Description: tRNA-Tyr
Source: RNAcentral